GUUUUUGAAAUAUUAUCUCCAAAUCUAUUAAUAUUUCGAUUUAUAAAAAAUAAAAAAAAUCAGUUAAGUGAAAUCUAUAUUUUCAAAUACAAGAAACUUAAAAAAUUAAAAAAAUAUAUUUUUUUUUCUUUUAAAAUCUAAAUAUCCGAACCGAUUCAAAAUAACUGAACUCAAACUAAAAAUACCCGAAUCCGAUCCAAAGUACAAAAAUACCCGAACGGGGUCUCUAUCCUUAUACCGAAAUACCCAAAAAUCCAAAAUACCCGAUCCGAACCCGAACAGGUUACC
This 288-nucleotide long non-coding RNA is filed under the name Brassica rapa (field mustard). RNAcentral's name for it is "long non-coding RNA (BRAP_LNC007756)". The record is from RNAcentral. Lineage: Eukaryota; Viridiplantae; Streptophyta; Magnoliopsida; Brassicales; Brassicaceae.